GGGCCUGUAGCUCAGAGGAUUAGAGCACGUGGCUACAAACUACGAUGUCAGGGGUUUGAAUCCCCCUUCGGCCA
Molecule: non-coding RNA, 74 nt
Organism: Gossypium raimondii (Peruvian cotton)
Lineage: Eukaryota; Viridiplantae; Streptophyta; Magnoliopsida; Malvales; Malvaceae
Source: Rfam